Non-coding RNA from Maylandia zebra (zebra mbuna), 502 nucleotides. The record is from RefSeq and is a predicted model, not a curated record. NCBI's taxonomy places the organism in Eukaryota, Metazoa, Chordata, Actinopteri, Cichliformes, Cichlidae.
AGGUAUCCCCACUUCUCGGCAUGUGUGUCUCAAGUGUUAGGACUGCUGCAUUGGAAAGACCCAGACCCUGCAGCCAAGUCAGCUGUCCACCUCUGCAUGGCCAGUCGAGCCAGCGCCGAAAUUUGAGGCAGAGCUCGGAGCAGAGCGGGCAGCCAGGCUGAGCACGGAGCAGAGGUUGAAGGUCGCAAACUGACAUCCACGUCUUCCAGAGAGCCCAGACCUCCUGCUGCAAACAGACUGCACCAACCGUUGUCUCCCACCAAGCUGUUGUAGGACAGAUCCAGUGCACGGAGUGAGGAGAGACAGCCCCGUCUGCACACGGCAGCUGCACAGAGGAAGAGGACCCAUUGAUAACUGAUCACUUUAUGCCUGUUCACUUUACUGUUUUGUUCACAAUGUUUCUGAUGGAGACAAAAAUAACACCGAAUAGUUUCAUUGUUUUGUUUUAUACGACAGCUACAGAUGCUGGCAGCAUGAAAUAAAUGAAAGAAAUAUCAAUUUC